CUACGUGCCAGCAGCCGCGGUAAUACGGAGGGUGCGAGCGUUAAUCGGAAUAACUGGGCGUAAAGGGCACGCAGGCGGUGACUUAAGUGAGGUGUGAAAGCCCCGGGCUUAACCUGGGAAUUGCAUUUCAUACUGGGUCGCUAGAGUACUUUAGGGAGGGGUAGAAUUCCACGUGUAGCGGUGAAAUGCGUAGAGAUGUGGAGGAAUACCGAUGGCGAAGGCAGCCUCCUGGGAUAACACUGACGUUCAUACUCGAAAGCGUGGGUAGCAAACAGGAUUAGAUACCCUGGUAGUCCACGCCCUAAACGAUGUCGAUUAGCUGUUGGGCAACUUGAUUGCUUAGUAGCGUAGCUAACGCGUGAAAUCGACCGCCUGGGGAGUACGGUCGCAAGAUUAAAACUCAAAGGAAUUGACGGGGACCCGCACAAGCGGUGGAUGAUGUGGAUUAAUUCGAUGCAACGCGAAGAACCUUACCUGGUCUUGACAU
This 487-nucleotide ribosomal RNA is filed under the name uncultured bacterium. RNAcentral describes it as "bacterial SSU rRNA". It matches the Rfam family "Bacterial small subunit ribosomal RNA", at positions 501 to 987 of the family's 1533-position model. The record is from RNAcentral.